GGUAAAAUAAAUGUCUGUGAUUUAUCUUCUAAUUACAAAUACAGCAGAGCAAUACAAUAUCAUGGUUCUCACAUUUGAAUUAUAAUAUAUUCAUAAAUACCCAAUAAUUGUGUCCAUAAUUAGUGAACAAUAGUUACACUACCAUUAAAACCUUUGGGGUCACAUAGACAUUUUCAAAAGAGAAGCACAUUCUUGUCCAAUGAAAUUAUAUCAAAUUGAUCAGAAAUAGUGCAGACAUUGUUAGUGUUGUAAAUGACUAUUGUAACUGAACAACAGACUUUUAAUGUUGUGGGAGCAGGAAGCAAUGCCCACCAAGCCAACCAAACUUGUGGGAGGCGCUUCAGAACACAUGAAGGGUGAAAUCUCUUCAGAUUAUCCUCAACAAAUUAAACACUAGAAGGCCAAAGGAAUGCAAGUCUGUAAUUGCUGCAUAUGGAGGAUCCCUUGAUGAUAAAGUUUGAAGGACAAUUAUUAUUACAAGUAAGAAUUAUUUCAAACCUUGUCAAUGACUAUUUCCUAUUCAUUUUGCUAUAUUUCCUACUCAAACUCAUUUGUUGUUUGAUUUCAUGAAAUUUCCAAGUGACCCCAAACUUUUGAAAAGUAGUCUAAACCGAGAGUGCUAUCAGGCUCUAAUUACUUUUUUCAGCGCUUUCAGAUCUAGAUGAUACUCAUCAUUUUAAUGUGUUUCUACCCCUUUCCUGACGACCUUAAAUAAAAUAUCUGGACCAAUACAUUUAGUGGUUUAAACAUAUAUUCAUUAUAAGAAAGACAGGAAUGUGAAAGUUUUAGUUUUUCACAUUAGACAGUCGAACAAACAGACAUCUGUAUCAUUUUCAUUACGCACCAAAUACAGGAAAUUGACUAAAACAGGGAAGGACUGACUGGAUUUAAUAGUCCAACAAGAAAGCAUUUUGUUCCAUUUAUCAUAAAAAUUAAGCAACGUUUUCCAUUGUUACCAUAAUUUGCAGAACGCAUGACAAAAGUGUGGAACAAACAAUGUGUACAUUUAGAUUCAGUGGACAGUCUAUUAGGUAAUACCACACUGUUCAAAAAAAUGUAUAGGCCCUACCGACAGGCAUCCAGAAUAUUAGAAGAGGCUAAACAAGUG
Esox lucius (northern pike) is the source of this 1108-nucleotide long non-coding RNA. The record is from Ensembl. Lineage: Eukaryota; Metazoa; Chordata; Actinopteri; Esociformes; Esocidae.